Bacillus sp. MRMR6 is the source of this 112-nucleotide regulatory RNA element. It matches the Rfam family "epsC RNA". The record is from Rfam. NCBI's taxonomy places the organism in Bacteria, Bacillati, Bacillota, Bacilli, Caryophanales, Bacillaceae.
UGGUGAUGUCUUCUUACCAAUAUCAAUGAAGGCACUCGGUUAUGCUGUGGGUUGAAAUAAACCUUAGACGCAGGUCGUCGAAAGUAUGAUGUGAGGUGGGGUUGAAUGCCCU